GAUCAUGGCUCAGGACGAACGCUGGCGGCGUGCCUAAUACAUGCAAGUAGAACGCUGAAGAGAGGAGCUUGCUCUUCUUGGAUGAGUUGCGAACGGGUGAGUAACGCGUAGGUAACCUGCCUUGUAGCAGGGGAUAACUAUUGGAAACGAUAGCUAAUACCGCAUAACAAUGGGUGACACAUGUCAUUUAUUUGAAAGGGGCAAAUGCUCCACUACAAGAUGG
RNAcentral lists this ribosomal RNA (223 nucleotides) under uncultured bacterium. Its description in RNAcentral is "partial 16S ribosomal RNA". It matches the Rfam family "Bacterial small subunit ribosomal RNA", at positions 15 to 228 of the family's 1533-position model. The record is from RNAcentral.